UUAAGUUCAGCGGGUAUCCCUACCUGAUCCGAGGUCAAUCUAGUAAAUAAAUUGGUUAAGACAGGGCCCGGGGACUACCGAGACGCGUGCUGAAGAGCUCGCUGCAUCCAGGGUCCACGGACUCCGCCAUUGUCUUUAAGGUCCACCAUGUCGCCGACGGUGGGACCCAACAGCAAGCUAGGCUUGAGGAUUGAUAAUGA
RNAcentral lists this unclassified non-coding RNA (200 nucleotides) under Verrucaria sp. RNAcentral describes it as "partial internal transcribed spacer 2". The record is from RNAcentral. Lineage: Eukaryota; Fungi; Ascomycota; Eurotiomycetes; Verrucariales; Verrucariaceae.